AGAAUUAAGUCGGAGGGAUCCGCCGCGCAGCUCAAUCCCUAGGAAGCAUGAAAGAAUGUAUUGUAAAGAGUAAAAUCACGCGCAAUCCAUCCCAAUAUAACCGCAGUUGUUCGUGGGCCUUCUUGCAGAGAAAGGCUGCCCAACCUUGACGGGGCCAUGGGCGCUGCGGGAGGGCAAAAGACCACAGAGAUCUGCGAAGCCAAAGUAAACAACGGGGUUGGGGCGGCGAGAAUGAUCAAUAGCGAUGCUCCGAAAGGACUCCGCGAUAGGAAUCGAGCGGGAAGGAUUCCCUCCAUCCUAACAGUCCAUGGGUUAAGAGGCCGAAGCUUCCCUAAAUACCACACUCCCGCGAGAGAAGGGACUGAGAACAACUUCUCAAACUAUUCUCUCUCGAAAUCGCUCCCUUCCUCGAAAAUUCCAUCUCUGAGACUCGGAUGAGGUCCCCACCCCCUCCACCCUUGUCCCGUGACCGUCGCCCGCUCAGCCUCCCAGCCGAGUCCGCGGGGCCUGGGGCGCCCACCCCGCCCACCCAAGGGACCGCGCAGGGGUGAACUCCCCCGCGCCCCACCUGCGCCUUCCAGACCUCGGGCGCCCCGGCGUUGCCUCGAGAGCUCCCUGCGCGGCCGCCGCGGCACGGACCAGCUCCCACUCCCUUACACUGGGCGCCGCUGCGCUCGCCGGGGGCCGGUCCCGAGGUUCCCAAGGCCUCGCGCGCGCGCUUGCCGUGGCAACCAAGACGUUCCACGACGCGCGCUCUCGAACGCUUCGCGUCACGCGGCCGCGCGGCCCCGCCCGUCGGCCUCGCUCCCGCCACAGAGCCCGCAGCACGCCGCCGCCGCAGCCUAGGUCACGUGAGUACCCACGCGCGCGUCUUGCCAGCGGAUUCAUCACCGGCCUGCUCAGACUAGGUUCUGCCCACUCUGACCUUCUAAAUGGUACGUGGGAGGACGUCCGUCCCCUUCGGACCCAAGAGUCACCGUAACACUCUAGAAGGGGAGAAAAGGAGCGAGGGCGGCAGGCGACAGAGAACCUCGCGAGUCAGCGGCCCCGCGCAGACCCCCCCAGGCACGGUCCCCUGCGGCCACGUCGGCUGCUCGGCGCCUGCGCAAUCUCUUUCUCUCCAGCGAAACCGAGGCCUCCGGAGAGCCUAGUAGAGAGUGUGGGCAGUGAGCGCUUGUAGCCGCUAGAGGGAGCGCUGGGCACAGUGCACGAGAGACAAUAAAGGCUGAUUAUCCCCUCAAUGUCUCUGCAGCCUGAGCUUUGUGACUUCUGUAUCCAGAGCACAGUUAAUUUCCAAAAGCCCGCCUGCACCACGUGUUUUAAGUCUUGGUGUGUGUGUAAAGUCUAUAUCACUAUCAUAAAACUGUUAGUUCCUGAUUCCGGGAUACAAAGAGUAAAAUCAAGAUGAACAUACUUUACCCUUCUUGACAAGUGUUUUUAAAUUAGUAAAAUAUUGUAGAUGACAGACUCUUCAAUAGGGCUGCCUUAGGGAAAAAAAAACAGAAAAAAGAAAAAGCAGUAUGUACUUGCCCGGAGCAUUUAGAACCAGUUUUGUUGUUGUUGUGUUUUUGUUUUGUUUUGAGACAGAGUCUUACUAUGUUGCCCAGGCUGGAGUGCAGUGGCAUGAUCUCGGCUCACUGCAACCUCUGCUUCCCAGGUUCAAGCGACUCUCAUGCCUCAGCCUCCAGAGAAGCUGGAAUUACAGCUGUGCACCACCACUCCCGUCUAAUUUUUGUAUUUUUAGUAGAGACGGGGUUUCACCAUAUUGGCCAAGCUGGUCUUGAAAGCUUGACCUCAAGUUAGCCAGGCUGGUCUCGAAUUCCUGACCUCAAGCGAUCCACCUGCCUCAGUUUCCCAAAGUGCUGGGAUUACAGGCGUGAGUCACCGCGCCUGGCCUUAGGACCAGUUAAGUGACUCCCUCAAAUCUCAGAAAGGUAGCAGUCAGUCAUCCCAAAAAGCAAAACCUAUUAGGAAUAUAUUAAUACAGUGGUUUCAAAAUGAUUUUGCUCUUAUACCCCCAAAGGAGUCCCCAAAGACUAUGACUGUAUUCUCACUUCCACGUUUUUGGAUUGACCAUCACAAUUUCUCAUCUGACUUAAAUAGUUACAAAAGAAGCAACUUCUGUUUUAUUAUAAAUUAACAUUUUAAAAUAAAAGUUAUAUAACUUUUAAAUGUAGCCAGUGGAAUCUAAAUACCAAUUUAAUAUCUAAAAUCAUCAAUUUUUAAAACUACAUGAACAAGCUUUUAACAGAAGGAAAUUUUACAUCAUUUCUUUUCUUCUUGAACUCAUAUUUCCGUUCCAUAUUGUGAAAUUGUAUGUCAAUAUUUCUUUAGUCUUGCAAAUAUUGGCCAGGCUUGGUGGCUUAUGCCUGUAGUCCCAGCUACUCCAGAGGCCGAGGCAAGAGAAUCGCUUGAGCCCAGGAGUUCGAGACCAGCCUGGGCAACAUGACGAAACCCGUCCCUACAAAAAAACACAAAAAUUAGCUGGGCAUGGUGGUACACAUCUGUAGUCCCAGUUACUCCAGAGGCUGAGGCAGGAAGAUCACCUGAGCUGGGGAGGCAGAGGCAGCAGUGACUGAGAUUGUGCCACUGCACCCCAGCCUGGGCAAUAGAGCCAGACCCUGUACCCCCUGGCCCCCACCAAAAAAAGAAAGGAAAUCUUUUAUUGGUCAUCUACUCUACUUCUUUACAUUUAAAAAGUACAUACAUUUAAAUAGAAUUUUUUAAAUUUCCAACAGCCAUAAAGAUGAAUGUGUUUAAAACAUGUAGAAUUUCUAUACACAAAAUUGUUAUAUAUAGAAAACCCUAAAGAAUUUACUACAACACUGUUAGAACUAAUAAAUGAGUACAUCAAGGAUUCAGGACAACAGGUCAACAUACAGAAAUCAAUAGUAUUUCUAUACACUAGCAAUGAACAUUUCAAAAAUGAAAUUAAUUCCAUUCAUAAUAUUAUCAAGAAGAAUAAAAUACUUAGAAAUAAAUGUAAUAAGUGCAAGACUUGUAUGCUGAAGACCAUACAACAUUGCUGAAAGAACUUAAAGACCUAAAUAAAUGGAAAGACAUCCCAUGUUAAAGGGUUGAAAGACUUCAUAUUGGGAAGAUGGCAGUACUUCUCAAAUGGACCUCCAGACGCAACACAAUCCGUGUCAAGAUCCCAAAUGACUUUUUUGCAGAAUUUUGCAAGCUGAUCCUAAAAUUCAUACAAUCCAGGGAAAUAUAAGGACCCAGAAUAGCCACAUGAGCACACACACACAGAUCUUGAAAAAGAAGAAUGAAGUUGGAGGACUGACACAUUCCAAUUUCAAAACUUAACUACAAAGCUGCAGGCCAGGCAUGGUGGCUCACACCUGUAAUCCCAGCACUUUGGGAGGCCGAGGCAGGCGGAUCACCUGAGGUCGGGAGUUCGAGACCAGCCCGACCAACAUGAAGAAACCCGGUCUCUACUAAAAAUACAAAAUUACCUGGGCGUGGUGGCGCAUGCCUGUAAUCCUAGCUACCCAAGAGGCUGAGGCAGGAGACUCACUUGAACCCGGGAGGUGGAGGUCACCGUGAGCCGAGAUUGUGCCAUUGACUCCAGACUGGGCAACAAGAGCAAAACUCUGUCUCAAACAAACAAGCAAAAAACUGCAAUUACUAGGAAAGCCAAGUCUCUCUUCCUGGAUUUCUUCUCCUAUAAACCGCCUAUUGAUACCUACCCACUUCUCUAUGGAGCACAGAUGAAGGAUAUUGGUCAUCUCCAGCAUCUAGCACAACGUCUGCAAUGGAACAGGCGAGCUGUGAAUAUUUGUGGAAUGCAUGGGUGGACUAAAGACCUAUCACCUCACUCUAGAAUGCCCAGCAUGUUGGAGCAUGUUAAGCACUAUAUGAGCUGCUGAGGAUACAGGAAUAAACAACAACACAGGUGUGUCCUCUGCCCAAACCAGGCAUAAAUGAGCUUCCAAAUGAACACAAACAAAUCUGGAAGGCUUUUGAGGAAGAAGGACCAUUAAAAAAGCUGCUGACGACUGCCUGGAAUCUGGUUUGGAGCAUCUCCAAAGCCAACGUACUUUCCCCCAAGAAAAUACAGGAAGAUCUCUCUGCCCAGGCUUGGAAAUACAUAAGGAUCAGGUUUGCCAUCCUCUACUUUAGGGUGACUUUAACAUAAUUUAAUGCCCACUGACUGCUUUUCUCCUACAGGUAAAGUAACAAACAAAGGAGUCAACUCUCAGGAGCUCUCUCUUUCAUCUGCUUUAUGUUGCCAUUUUCCCUCAUUGCCCUCUCACAUUCACUCAGUAAUUCACCAAAUAUUUAUAGAGACUUCAUGGUGUGCAAGGCAGUGAACUCCACACUGUAGGAAGAGUAAAGCCAUGGAGAUCGCAGGCCUGGCUCUUCAUACCUUUGGCUUUCUGUUGAAUUGAACUUUCUGUUAAGUUUAAAAUACACAAUAGAACUUUGACGAUGUUGUGGCCUGGUCAGGGAUGGGACAGAUAACCAGCCCUUAAAAAUAAAGCUCCUCCGGCCCCGCCCAAUACCUUCUGAAAGAAGGAGGGUUAUUAUAGAGCAUAAAUAAAACAGUAGUGAUUAAUAAUGAUAAUAAAGUUUAUCUCUUUACUCACUCAACAGCAAUCCUUUUGGGGCAAAUCACUUAUGAUUUCCUUCCAGGACUGAAGAAAACAUGCACAGACGGAAGGUGGGGGCUGGUACUGGUGCUGAGCCUGGCAUGGGGAGAGAGGAAACAAGAGUGAAAAGACUCUUUCAUUCUCCUGGCAAAGGCAGCCUUGCAGCUGGGGCCAGGGUCUGUGGUGCUGAUCCAUCUGCUGGGCCGUCACCUCCCGAGAGAGCGUGUGUUCCUCCAACCACGCGUGUCUUAGCACCAGUCUCUGGCAGGAGCCAGGAGAUGGGGAAGACAAUUUAAAUGAUUCACAUAACUUCAAAAAAUGUGGAUAAGCACUUUAUUUUUCUCACAAACCAAGAAUAUCUACUCAAUUUAAACUUUUACCUGCGAUCUCUCUUCCUCAGACCCAGGGUCACGAACUUGCCGUCUAACCUGGCAGGUCAGUAAAACCUUACCCCAUCAGGUCUUCAUCUGUAAGAUGAGAAGGUGGCAGCAGAGGUUCCGAAGGCUCCUUCCAGAUGAAAACAAAUACGAUUUUUACAUCAGUAGAAAUUCAAGGGGCUCACACUUGACUAUAUGAAAGAGAAAAUAAAAAAUUAUUUGUUUAUUUUUCUGUUGGCCUUUUCCUAUCAUUUUAGCUUACUUAUUUCUUCUUUUUGACCCCAUUUUUGUGUUUCUUAUUUCUUCUAUUAACACCACUGGAUUAAAGCAAGCAAAAAUUUAAAGAUUAAUAUCCUUUUUAAAAAUUUCAGACAUAUAACACACACACACACACACACACAUACACACACACCCUGCAUGUAGAUAAAGCAGCUAGAAAUGAAAGCCUAACUGAAACAUAAUUCCAGUGGUUCUCAAACUUUAGCAGGCAUUAGAAUCACCUGAAAGAUUUGUUAAAAUGCAUGUUGCUGGACAUCAACCCAGAAUUUUUAAUUUGCUAGGUAAGGUGGAGUCCCAAAAUUAACAUUUCUUACAGGUUCCAAGUAAUACGGAUGUUGUUGGUCUGGGACCACACUUUGAAAACCACUGCUUUAUAGCACAGCUUCCAAGGAGACUCCAGUGUGUGUUCUGUGUGUACCUUCUCUAUGUAUGUAUGUUCUGUAUAUAUAUAUGUACAGUACACAUAUCUCCAAUGUAUGUUCUCGUCUAAUCCCUUAAAGUCAUGAUGUGCCUCAGGCCAUCAUUUCUUCCCUUUACUGUUUGUCAGCUGUCACCAAGUUGAGGUGGCAGUGGUGGUUUUCUUUAUGUCAAAGCACUUUCCAUCUAUUCCUAAUUGAUUGCCUACUGAUUUCUUGGUUUCCUUGACUAUUUCGUUGAAAGGAUCUCAAGCCGCUGUAAAACUUGCAUUUUAACAUCUAGCGUGACAUUCUCCCUCUGUUUAGUGUCAUUUUUGUGGCAGAUUAAGAUCUCCCACCAGCACACUUUCCCAUUUAAUCCUCCAGCCAUUGUAGUUCAAAACUCUUUGCCAGAAAUCCUGCAUGCCCAGAACACACACACAUACACACACACACACACACACACACACACACACAAACACACACACACACACACACACAAUGAAAGGCCACUCAAGUCAGGGUAACAAGGUGGAGCCUUUGCAGUGCAUUUAGCUAAUGCCAAUAGAGAUGCAGUAUAAAUAGUUGUACCAAGUUUCCAUCUUUCCCUUAAGCAGGAUGUAAGCAUGAGAUUGUAGAAGAAAGGAUUCUGUAAACAGAUUUAUUUCGUGAUAUUUGGGUAGACAGUUCUUGUUAACAUAGAACAACUUUAUACUAACUAUAGAAAAUGCUUUUCAAUAAAUCCUCCUUGACAAUCAGUGUAUUCUCAGGUUCUUGUCUUCUGGGAGAGAUCUACAGAAUAAAUUAUUCUGGGAAGUGUAUGGUAUGGCACAUAAAGAGGAAGGAGUGGUUAUUUGUAUGAAAUAAAAAUGGUAACUGAUUUUUAAAAGAUACUUACAUGACUUAAUCUCUGUUAGAGUACCAACAUUAAAACUAACUAACAAUUAUGAGGGCUUAUUAGCAGUCUUCUCCAAGGUGAGGAAACAAGAUCUGUACUUCAACACUGCCUUCUGCUACCUGCCUGCUCCUUCCUACCUCCCUUUCUGCCCACACAGAGGGUCUUGUCAUUUGGCAGGAAGAAAAACGAAUCAGGAGCCCUGAAGCAGAGGGCUGCUGCUGUUGCUGGUGAUUGAUGGGCCUGGGUAAUUUCACCUCUGGUGUCAAAAAGAUUUAAGUUUCACUUGCAAACUACUUGCCGAAUCCAGCCACCUAUCUCAGCCCUACCAAGUUUAGCCUACUCUUCGCCCUCACAGGCAUUAGGCAUUUCUUUCCCAUUCACAGUUAUCUAUGACUUAUUUUUUAGUUGCACAUAUGUUUGUAGCAUGUGGUAUGUUUCUGCAUGUAUGUGUAUGUGUGUGUAUCUGGAGUGAAGAUGACUGAGCUUCAGGUCUCACUAGCCUAGAUAGAACUUCAAGCCUCCCUUUAAAAUGGCCUAUGUCAAAUAAUUUUUUUAAAAAGCUACUUACUUAAUGACAUCUUUAACACUUCAGAUUUCUAUACAUAUCUAUAAUAUCUUACUGAUAUGGUUUGGCUGUGUCCCCACCCAAAUCUCGUCUUAAAUUCCCACAUGUUGUGGGAGGCACCUGAUGCAAGGUAAUUGAAUCAUGGGGGCAGGUCUUUCCCAUGCUGUUCUCAUGAUAGUGAAUAAGUCUCACGAGAUCUGAUGGUUUCAUAAGGGGGAGUUUCCCUGCACAAACUCUCUCUUUUUGCCUGCUGCCAUCCAUGUAAGAUGUGACUUGCUCCUCCUUGCCUUCCACCAUGAUUGUGAGGCCUCCCCAACCACAUGGAACUGUAAGUACAUUAAACCCUUUUUCCUGUAUAAAUUACCCAGUCUUGGGUAUGUCUUUAUCAGCAGCGUGAAAAUAAACUAAUACACUUACUAAAGAGAUUCUACUGUCCCACAAAACUUAUUUGACACAUUGCCUUGUGUAGAAGCUGUGUUGUGAAUUAUGACUGUGGGCAGGAGUUAUGGUGUUACUCUGCGACUUCUAUUAGUAUAGAUUGGUGGAGACCAGAAUAAGAAUUUUUGUAGAUUUCUUAUGUUUUAUUAUUUACUUAUUUAUUUGUUUCUUUAUUUUUUAAGACAGGAUCUUACUCUGUCACCCAGGCUGAAAUGUAGUGGGAACUCACCACAGCAUUGACCUCCUGAGCUCAGGUACUGGGCUCACCACAGCAGUGACCUCCUGAGCUCCCAUCUCAGCCUCCUGAGUAGCUAGAACUACAGUGCUCACCACCACACCCAGCUAAUUUUUGUAUUUUUUGUAGAGAUGGGAUUUUGCCAUGUUGCCUUGGCUCAAGUGAUCCACCCACCUCAGCCUCCCAAAGUGCUAGGAUUACAGGUGUGAGCCACCGUGCCUGGCCAUGUUUAAUUUUUUAAUUAGAUGGAGGCAUGGGAGUGGCCAUUCCUUUUGUAUGUGUGAAUAUCUGAUUUAUUUCUAUUGCCAUUUAUAAUGCAAAGAUAGAUACUUCCUAAUUAUUUACUCUGGCCAGGGAUAUUAUUUAUUUAUGGAGCUGAUGACAGUAUGUGGCUUUUGUGAACUGAUCUGUUUCUUGGUUUUGUUUUUAUUCUAAAUUUAGCUUUUCACAUAGUUGUAACCUUGAGCUAAUACAGAGAUUUGAUUGUUUGAUCUUUUUUAGCUUUUUGAUGGGUAGUCAAGAAGAUAACAGCUUUUCUUUUUUAUGAAGUCUCGCUCUGUCACUAGGCUGGAGUGCAGCGGUGCGAUCAUGGCUCACUGCAACCUCUGCCUCCCGGGUUCAAGUGAUUCUCCUGCCUCAGCCUCCCAAGUAGCUGGG
RNAcentral lists this long non-coding RNA (8442 nucleotides) under Homo sapiens (human). RNAcentral describes it as "HSALNT0372679". The record is from RNAcentral. Lineage: Eukaryota; Metazoa; Chordata; Mammalia; Primates; Hominidae.